AUCCUCCCCCAGAAAUGCAUUGGAGGAAUUCAUAGCAGGAUUCAGAAACCUUCCACCAACAACCUUGCUACUCAAAAUAUCACAAAUGUCAGGGAUUCUUGAAGUCCCACCCCAACGCAGAAUCCUUAUUUCUUGCAAGCGAACUAGUAGCAGAUUCGUGUAAAUGCAUGAUGAUUAGGUUCGUUCGAGGCAAUGCCCUGAUGUGAAUCCCUAUAAUUGGUUGACUUGCAAGAUCGAAGACGCGAUUUGCGUGGAUCCGCUUUCUUUUUGAAGAAUGGAUCAUUCAAUGGGUACUAAAGUUGGUGGUUCGACAACUUUAAGUGUAGACAUAGUGUUAGUCAUCUCCUUAACUAUGCAAAAAAUUUAAAUAUUCGAGUGCAUACAUGUCUGUGCACAAUACGCAAGUGUUGAAAUAAUUCUUUUAGUUACAACAGAGAGUCGUUAGAUUAGCAAAAUAUCGUAGUUUGUGGAUUCGAAUAACGUAGACCAAGAACCAGAACAAGUGGUAUUAGAGCAAAAAGUUAGCUAGUGUAGGUCAAAUAUGAUUAAAUAUUUUGUCGGUAACAUUUAAGAAGUAUGAGCCCUUCAUUUCUA
This is a long non-coding RNA of Cucurbita pepo subsp. pepo (vegetable marrow), 594 nucleotides long. RefSeq lists it as uncharacterized. Lineage: Eukaryota; Viridiplantae; Streptophyta; Magnoliopsida; Cucurbitales; Cucurbitaceae. The record is from RefSeq and is a predicted model, not a curated record.